GACGAACGCUGGCGGCGUGCUUAACACAUGCAAGUCGAGCGGUAAGGCCCUUUCGGGGGUACACGAGCGGCGAACGGGUGAGUAACACGUGGGUGACCUGCCCUCAGCUCUGGGAUAAGCCCGGGAAACUGGGUCUAAUACCGGAUAUGACUCCAUGACGCAUGUUGUGGGGUGGAAAGCCUUGUGCGGCUGAGGAUGGGCCCGCGGCCUAUCAGCUUGUUGGUGGGGUGANGGCCUACCAAGGCGACGACGGGUAGCCGGCCUGAGAGGGCGACCGGCCACACUGGGACUGAGACACGGCCCAGACUCCUACGGGAGGCAGCAGUGGGGAAUAUUGGACAAUGGGGGCAACCCUGAUCCAGCCAUGCCGCGUGAGUGAUGAAGGCCUUAGGGUUGUAAAGCUCUUUCGACGGGGAAGAUAAUGACGGUACCCGUAUAAGAAGCCCCGGCUAACUUCGUGCCAGCAG
RNAcentral lists this ribosomal RNA (467 nucleotides) under uncultured bacterium. RNAcentral's name for it is "bacterial SSU rRNA". It matches the Rfam family "Bacterial small subunit ribosomal RNA", at positions 28 to 514 of the family's 1533-position model. The record is from RNAcentral.